This 253-nucleotide ribosomal RNA is filed under the name uncultured bacterium. RNAcentral's name for it is "partial 16S ribosomal RNA". It matches the Rfam family "Bacterial small subunit ribosomal RNA", at positions 524 to 776 of the family's 1533-position model. The record is from RNAcentral.
UACGUAGGGGCCUAGCGUUGUCCGGAUUUAUUGGGCGUAAAGAGCUCGUAGGCGGUUUGUCGCGUCUGCCGUGAAAGUCCGGGGCUCAACUCCGGAUCUGCGGUGGGUACGGGCAGACUAGAGUGAUGUAGGGGAGACUGGAAUUCCUGGUGUAGCGGUGAAAUGCGCAGAUAUCAGGAGGAACACCGAUGGCGAAGGCAGGUCUCUGGGCAUUAACUGACGCUGAGGAGCGAAAGCGUGGGGAGCGAACAGG